Non-coding RNA from Dermacentor andersoni, 4286 nucleotides. Lineage: Eukaryota; Metazoa; Arthropoda; Arachnida; Ixodida; Ixodidae. The record is from RefSeq and is a predicted model, not a curated record.
UCCAUCCAGCGAGCAAAGGCCAGCCGAGGGAGAUCGUGUGGCAGCCAUCUCGCGUCGCCACGAAAACACGACAGUCGUUCGUCAUGCCUUGGAUAUAACAACAAAUCCUCCACGGGGGAAUCUGCGACCACUGAAGUUACGUGCAGCACCAGUGCUAGUUAGAAACUUUGCCGCAGGCAUUCAGCUGCAUGAAGAGGUCAGUUGGGCGCGUUAUCUUGAACUUACUGAAAACGCAUGAGGAAUCCAUGUUUUAUGCUGAAAAAAGUAUAAACCCCAUAUAAGCGAUCUUGCGCGCGGCAGCUACAAGCGACGCGACGGAGAUGGCUGUCGCGUUCGCUCGUCGCCUACAAGUCGUACUCCGUGCGAGCGACGAUUUUGAGCGACGCCUCCCCGGUGUUGCCGGCAUGAGGGCUGCAGUCACGCGUGACGCGUUACGUUCAUGUAUUUUACUAUAAAAAGUAGCAUAAAAUAUUUCCGGAGGUCUUGCAGUACGUUCUUAUCCUUGCACGUAUAAAAAUUGAAUCAUUUGCUCGUUCCGCGCGACAAUCGGUAGUAUUUGAGCGAUGUAUGUACUGUACAUCCAGUUCCGGCUUCGCGCUAUUGGCUAGUCGCUCAUAGCACUUCUGGGCGACGAGCGACGAUUUCUAGAUUUCCAGAACCGAGCCAUCUGUUCAAGCGACGGCCCGUUUUGUCGCUCGUCGCCGUCGCGCACUAAAUCGCUCUCACAGUGUUUAUCCCUAAGACUGAACUGUUUUUGCUCAUGUUGAAAUGGUGUGAUUAUAGGUCUGGUUUUGUCUCCUGUUGCGGUUUUCGUGCACGGUGCGAAAUUGUCGAGCAGCUAGUUACGCAUCGGCAUCGAAUAUAACGGCUGCUGUGUGGAAUUACAAUUGAAGGGGCGCUUUGCAUACGCUUAUUGUUUUGGACAUGCCUGUGCAUUUGCUAAUAUGAGUUGGCGUGUCAGAGUUAUGUCAUAUGAACAGCUAAAUCAGCCUUCCUCUGGGGGUUACAAGCGUAAUGUGUGCAUUUUGCUAUAGCAUGGCAGAUUAUGAUGUGUUUAUCGCUUGGAUAUUUUUAGUAGAGAAAUAAAAUAUCAAAAUAAAAUGUUGCUUUAAUUCCGUGUUACCAUUCUGUCGUACACAGAACAAUAGGUUGGUGUAAUAAACUAAUAACUGCGGUUUAACUGCAACUUUUACAUGCCUACAAGAAUCUAAAAUGCUAGAUUUCAAACUGCAGCAGUAGUCGGGUCUGUCAAAAAUGAACUCCACUGCGCACCUCAUGCAUGAAAAUAAGUUCAUGCCUUUUAGUAAGCUUAGAUGCAGGCCGCAGUGAACUUGUUAGUAUUGAAAUGUGGGUAAGCUUGCCAUAACAAGCCUUGUUGCCCUUUUUUAUAGGCACAUCCAUAUAUCCAUUGAGCUGAAGGACAAUAUUUUCAUCCCUACUGAGCAUCAUGUUUGCAGCUAUAAUCCUCAAGUUAUGGCUUCAGCAGUGGCACAACCAGGCAUGGUGCGGGGGGGUGGGGGGGCACACUGGGCACGUGCUUAGGAUGUGUCACAAGUGGUGUUUGCGAUACACCAGACUCAUGACAGACCUAUGACGUCUGAAAAUGACCAAUAUUCUAUUCAUUAGCAGGAGUAUUCUAACAUUCAUGAAAAACAAGGAUGAACUGUGGUUUGUUUUUUUGCUUAAAUCUAAAAAUUGAAGUUAGUUUAGCAGUUGACUGUUGCAGUCAUUUGGAUGUUUUGCAUGCAUUUCACUAGGAAGACUAAGAGCUAAGACUUUUUAUUGCCAUUGCCUUGACUGUCUUGAUGUUGUUUUGCACCAUGUCCUUGUGUUGACUUUUGCAUACGAUAUUUUUCAGGCACCCGCUUUAUAUAACGCAAGAAGGCAGCUGCAAGGACACGAGGAUGUGAAAGAGCCAGUGCAGCGCGACUUCACGUAGUGUAGAGGAGCCAAUGCCAAAAAAUCAAAAUACAUUGGCAUGUUAUUUGGACAAGAAAACUAGGACAACCCAGGACGUGCAUUUCUCAGCACCCAGUCAACUGCCAAAAGUGACUCAAACACAGGCCACCAGUGGAACUCGGCUGUACCACUGCAGUGCUGCGGAAAUUGCCUUCACCAGCGGCUUUGCAACAGCUGUUUCGCAGCAUGUCGGAGACAAUGCCUACGAAAUUAUUGGCCCUGAUCAUGAGAGCCCUCAAGGGGCAAACAACAUCUCUGUUGCAGAAGUGAGCCCGGUACCACUUGGAAGUUACCAUGACAGAUGACACGGCAGCAAUAGAUACAGAGACUGCCACGUCUACUGCAGCUGCAACAGUGUACGAGGCAAGCAGCAGCGCGUCAGCAGCAGUGUCAGAAGGAACCACACCAGGCCUGGUAGAGCAACAUGUGUGCUAUCACUGACUUUUUUUGUAGUGGAUACAACUCAUUUGCUCAACAUACAAAAGCUUUUCACCACGACUGUGAGCCAGUGUUAUUGUGCAGCAAGUGCAAGACUAAGUUAACUGUUAUAACACAGUACAAGCAUCACUUUAACAUAUGAAAACAUAUUACAGUUGUUGCCUCCCCAGCCAGCCCACAUAGCCACAACAAUGUUGAACACAUGGUGGGACACACAUCUUCUCCAUUAGAAGAUAGUAGAGACUGUCAGUGUUGUUGUUAGAUUAACUGGUCUUUGUAGGCAACUAGGACAACACAGGUGUCAUAAGAUUGUUGAUGUUGUUGUUGAAGAGGUAAAAAAGAAGUUUGAUGCAGCUGAAGUGCCAACUGAUAUUGAGCAAAUCAAAAGCAACCACCUGAGAAAGCAACACUAUCGAAAUUUGGGUAUCUAUGUGCCGCCAACUCUGGUAAGAAUGGCAUAGGACAGAAGUGUGAUGAAAAUCACACAGACACUGCUGUUGCAUCACUGGCCACAGUGAGCAGCGACUUGUAGGGCAAGAGAGUCAACUGAAACUAACAUUAUGAUAUAGUGUCAUGCUCCCAUGUGACCACUUUUCAAGUUAUUUUGCAAGAUACAGCUCAACCUCCAGAAACGAGACUGCAAGUUGUCUGUAAAAAAGCUUUCACAAAAAAUUAUUCAUAACACUAUUAACAUAGUAUCUUUUUUUUGUGUCGGUUCGAGUUCCCGGCUGUCCAUUAAUGCAAAAAUUGAGGAAAAAAAGAACAUGUGUCGUACUUACACCUUUUUAACAAGUACGAGGGGGACAGAACUUUUCUAGUCAUGCAUCAUCAUACUAUCAAGUUUUUAAAUGCCUUUUAUAAUUAUUAUUACCAGUUAUAUCUGAGUGCAUUGUAUGCAUGUAGCAGGUGUAAAAUCAGGUCAGUUGGAUCAGAUGCCUUAUCUGCAAGCGAGCCCUAAAUUCAAGAAAUUUGAAAUAAAAUAGUUACGUUAGAGACGCAGUCUUUCAGCACUUUAUUGCCUGUGGUUUAAGCAUUGCUCAAUACUUUUGUGGGUGGCAACUUCAACCGGCACAGCACUGCGCUUUGCCACAGUCACAUUUGUCUUCAAAGCGGUGUUUACCAUUUGUGUUGAUCUGUUUGUGUAUGCAUAGAGCAAGUUUUUAAUUUAUAUUUUUCUGCAUUCUUGUGCUUGCACUAAGCUUGUAUAAGGCAGUUACAAAAUGUGCGGCACUAUAACGAACUGUUCUGUUGAGCUUACACUUGCAAAUAAUCGUGUUCAGAUGGCCGCACUUCUAUGCGGGUGCACCGCUAGCUUUGUGUAUGUUCUCAUGUUUGUAUAAAGCUUAUAUAAGCUAGUUAGAAAAUGUAUGUCACUAAGCAUUGUGAUAUUCUUUAAAGAACUGCUUGGUUGGUUUUACACUUGUGAAUUAGUAUUGAGGCGGUGGUAUUCCCAUGUAUGCCCACUGCUAGCUUUCUGUGUCCUCACGUGUUUGUAUUAAGUUUCUACAAGGGAGUUACAGCAUGUACGUCACUAAGCGCUGUGAUAUUUUUUAAAGAACUGCUUUGUUGGUUUUACACCUGUGAGUAAUAGUACUCGUGUGGCACUAGUCAUGUGUAGGUACACAGGGACCAUUUGUAUACAUUAUGCUCAUGUAAAGCAGUUACAAAGUGUAUGUCACUAAUUACUGUGAUAUUUGUUGAAUUGCUGUGAUGGUUUUACACAUGUGAAUAAUAGUGGUCAGGACACAGUACUUGCGGUGUAUAGUUGAAUUUAUACACUGCCAAGACAUGGGCUGUAUACGUACCAAAAGAAAUGUAUGUCAUUAUAUUGUUGUGAUUAUUACUGUUUGGAUUUUAUUAAACUGUAAUAAAAUUGUUUCUUGUAUCUA